GUGCUCUCAGGGGUAGAGUGCUUGCCUAGCAUGCACAAGGCCCUGGGUUCAAUCCCCAGAACCACA
RNAcentral lists this transfer RNA (66 nucleotides) under Marmota monax (woodchuck). RNAcentral's name for it is "tRNA.Ala". Lineage: Eukaryota; Metazoa; Chordata; Mammalia; Rodentia; Sciuridae. The record is from RNAcentral.